Bufo gargarizans (Asiatic toad) is the source of this 758-nucleotide long non-coding RNA. RefSeq lists it as uncharacterized. The record is from RefSeq and is a predicted model, not a curated record. The transcript has 3 exons. NCBI's taxonomy places the organism in Eukaryota, Metazoa, Chordata, Amphibia, Anura, Bufonidae.
UUGUAGCGUCGGUUCCGGGUUGCGUCUCAAGCUGAAACGCAUGCCUCCUACCGCAUACCGCACUUCCGGUUUGGUAUUAACUGCAUGGACGUCACUUCCGGCGUGCGGUCCAUGCUGACACGCACGCCGCGAUACUAGCAACACAUGGCCGGACCUGACUACACCUGUGGGUGUCGCUAGUCGCGACUGGGCGCAUGGGGUAUUUAAAGGAAGGGGGGAAACUCAGGAUGACUACAUCAGACCUAUUUCCCUUCACUGCUAACGACACCAUGUGUCUCUUUGUUGGCUAGCCCUGCAUCUUGGGGGACAUAAAUCGGGGCACCUCUAUCCUUGUUUGGUGCUUUUCAGUCAGGAAGACCCAUGUACCUAUCCAUGAACCUCCCGACCAACGAUCUGUACGUGAUCCGUUGUUAUUGCCAACAUCAGGUCCGACUCUGGGAUCGGGCUUAUGAAAAAUGAAGAUUACUCUUACCAGUAAUUGGAUUUUCCAGAACCCAUGACAGGACUACGAGAGAAGAUCUUCCCCACAGACAGGAAACUUGCAGCAUAAAAAAGGCGGAGGCUCUCCUCAGACUUCAGUGUGAAUUCCCAAGCAUGAGAGGAACUCCGCCAACGUUUAAUCAAUAUUUGCUCUGUGCAUAGAUUCAGUAACAGAACCAAGCUCUGUGUAUAUAGACAGUAACAGAACCAAGCUGCAUGUAUAGAUACAGUAAAAGAACCAAGCUCUGUGCAUAGAGACGGUAACAGAACCAAGCACA